This 432-nucleotide ribosomal RNA is filed under the name uncultured soil bacterium. RNAcentral's name for it is "bacterial SSU rRNA". It matches the Rfam family "Bacterial small subunit ribosomal RNA", at positions 26 to 508 of the family's 1533-position model. The record is from RNAcentral.
AGAGCGAACGCUGGCGGCAGGCUUAACACAUGCGAGUCGAGCGGGCCCUUCGGGGUCAGGCGGCAGACGGGUGAGUAACACGUGGGAACGUACCCUUUGGUUCGGAAUAACGCUGGGAAACUAGCGCUAAUACCGGAUACGCCCUUUUGGGGAAAGGCUUGCUGCCGAAGGAUCGGCCCGCGUCUGAUUAGCUAGUUGGUGGGGUAAUGGCCUACCAAGGCGACGAUCAGUAGCUGGUCUGAGAGGAUGAUCAGCCACACUGGGACUGAGACACGGCCCAGACUCCUACGGGAGGCAGCAGUGGGGAAUAUUGGACAAGUGGGCGCAAGCCUGAUCCAGCCAUGCGCGUGAGUGAUGAGGCCGUAGGUUGUAAGACUCUUUGUCGGACGAGUAAUGACGGUACGGAAGAAGUAAGACCCGCGUACUACGUCG